GUACAAGAACCAAGAAUAUCAUGAUUUUAGUAAGUAGGCAUUAAUAUAAUAUUUGAAACAAUGACAACAUAUCUAAUGGUUAUCGUUCGUAACCGUUUUGUGGUAAUGAUCUCAGUAUAACGAUGAGUAAUGUAUAUAUACAAAUAUAUAUAUAACGAGACAAUAAAUACGCAACAACGAUCGAUCAACGCUUGUGAAAUGUUGAGAAUGAUUACAAAUCUGCCGUCAGUCGGAUGCAAGUUGCACUUUCGCAAGCCGUUUGUUCACCAGAUGAGGGAGAAUUACGCCAUGUGAGUAUCAAGUCGUCUCUGGUGUGGCGCUAGAAGCGUGUGAAUCCUCUUCGCUGCCAACAUGGCGGCGAACUGUGACGCUGCGUCAGAUCCCCCCACCACAUCAGACAGGGACACGAGCGCGUUGUAUGCCGCCUCACCGUAGUUACGCACCCAGAGUGAUAGCUGGAAAUUGCCUCGAGCUGCAGCCUCUGGUCGUCCAGUGUGUAAGCGGUGUCGUUGAGGCCGUACAGGCCGCGGGUCGCGUGCGCCACCCUCAGCCUCAUGAGAGCCUCCUCCACCCGCAGCUUGCGCCACGCCUCCCGACGAGCCUUCACCUCCUUAUCGCCGCCGGAUACGUUCAGCAUCGACGUCUUCAGCCGACUUUGCUGGAAUUAACAAUCAUAUUGUAUUAGAGGAAAUCAUCUAUGAUGGGUUUUGUGAAGUUAUACUAAUAAACGCGAUUGGAAUGUC
Long non-coding RNA from Danaus plexippus (monarch butterfly), 743 nucleotides. RefSeq lists it as uncharacterized. NCBI's taxonomy places the organism in Eukaryota, Metazoa, Arthropoda, Insecta, Lepidoptera, Nymphalidae. The transcript has 4 exons. The record is from RefSeq and is a predicted model, not a curated record.